RNAcentral lists this ribosomal RNA (500 nucleotides) under uncultured bacterium. Its description in RNAcentral is "partial 16S ribosomal RNA". It matches the Rfam family "Bacterial small subunit ribosomal RNA", at positions 30 to 523 of the family's 1533-position model. The record is from RNAcentral.
AUUGAACGCUGGCGGAAUGCUUUACACAUGCAAGUCGAACGGCAGCACGGACUUCGGUCUGGUGGCGAGUGGCGAACGGGUGAGUAAUGUAUCGGAACGUGCCCAGUCGUGGGGGAUAACGUAGUGAAAAUUACGCUAACACCGCAUACGAUCUAUGGUUGAAAGCGGGGGAUCGCAAGACCUCGCGCGAUUGGAGCGGCCGAUAUUAGAUUAGGUAGUUGGUGGGGUAAAGGCCCACCAAGCCAACGAUCUGUAGCUGGUCCGAGAGGACGACCAGCCGCACUGGAACUGAGACAAGGCCCAGACUCCUACGGGAGGCAGCAGUGGGGAAUUUUGGACAAUGGGCGAAAGCCUGGUCCAGCCAUUCCGCGUGCAGGAUGAAGGCCCUCGGGUUGUAAACUGCUUUUGUACAGAACGAAAAGGUUUCUACUAAUACUAGGAGCUCAUGACGGUACUGUAAGAAUAAGCACCGGCUAACUACGUGCCAGCCGCCGCCGUAA